Non-coding RNA from Acanthosepion pharaonis, 112 nucleotides. NCBI's taxonomy places the organism in Eukaryota, Metazoa, Mollusca, Cephalopoda, Sepiida, Sepiidae. The record is from the annotation of a GenBank genome assembly.
ACAGCCACAUCAUAUUGAAACACCAGUUCCUGUACGAUCACCAAAGUUAAGCAACACUGAGUCAGGUUGGUAUGUAGAUGGGUGAUCGCUUGCGAAUACAAGAUGCUGUAAG